GGGGGGGAGGGGCGGCGAGGCGAGGCCUGCGGAGCGGACUUCCUAGCAUGGGCUGUUGUGCUGGAGAGAACGAGAGCUACGAAGAGACUACAGUGCCUCUGACUUUUUCAUAGGACAGUUGGCCGAGGAAGACAAACAUAAAGAUGAAGUGCUUAAUUCAAGGUCACACAAUGUCGGGGAUGGACCUCCAGAUUUCCUUACUGGAAAACAAGCUCAGGGCUCCCACUGAUUGUACAUUAUGGGAGGAGGACCUGGUUGAUAGAAGAAUUUAUCUCGUAGUCUUAACAUCCACUGUAAUUCCAAACUUUGAGGACGAUAGAGAUCAGUGGGCUUUGACUGCCCAGCAUGCAGUCUCCAUUCUUAGGUGGGUUCCCAAGCCUGUAAAAUGUAAGCCUUAUGCUGCUGAGGGCCAUCUUGCCACCCUGAGGGAAACGCUGCCUGAGAAUGAAACAAGCAUAAGUAAAAGCUGAGCUGUGAGAUGGAGCAAGAUGAAGGCCACAUGACAUCUUUGGAGCACCUGGAUCUAACUGUGCCUUAAGCUAGUCUAACCCUGAACAUUUCAUCAUUUCAUUGACAUGAGCCCAGGUUUUCUUUUUUUUUGGAUGGAGUCUUGCUCUGUCGCCCAGGCUGGAGUGCAGUAGCUCAAUCUCGGCUCACUGCAAGCUCCACCUCCCGGGUUCACGCCAUUCUCCUGCCUUAGCCUCCCAAGUAGCUGGGACAACAGGCGCCCACCACCACUCCCAGCUAAUUUUUUGUAUUUUUAGUAGAGACGGGGUUUUACCAUGUUAGCCGGGAUGGUCUUGAUCUCCUGACCUCAUGAUCCGCCCGCCUCGGCCUCCCAAAGUGCUGGGAUUACAGGUGUGAGCCACUGCACCCAGCCCUCAGGUUUUCCCUUUUUUUACCCCUCCUUUUGAAAAUUUGAUGUGGAAUUUUGCCACCUGCAGCCAGAAGAGUUUUAACUAAUCAGUGCCAUAAAUUUUAUAUAGUUCUCCUUGCAAAAUGUGGAUCAGCCUUUCUCAGCAAAUCCUUUGUCAUAAAGUGCUGAAUUGUAAGUUUGUCAUGAGAAUCACAUGAGAUCAUGCAUGUGAAGAACCUGGCAUUAUCCUCCUCAUAGAAAAAAACCAGUAAAUAUUAACUACAGGAAGCAAGGAAGGAGUGGGGUGAGGGGAAGAAGAAGGGGUACUGAUUUAAAAGAACCCUGGAGUCCUAAGGAUAAUCUAGGAACCCUCAGACCCAAUCCGAUACCCCUAUUCUAAAUGCUCCUAGUGCCCUGUACCUUCCCCUCAUAAGCCUUCAUUAUCAUUGUAAUGAUAUGUUUAUGUAAUAUUUUGAUUAAUGUCUCUCCUUCACUGACCUAGCAGUUCUAGCAGGGCAGUGAUUUUGCUGUGUUGCAUCCCCAGCACCUAGUCUGGUAUGUGGCAUUCAGCAUAUGUUUAUUGAAUGAAUGGCCAUGUGGUUAUUCAGAUCCUCCUUGAUUAUUGGGGUUAGGAUUGUGGCAGAAGUGGCAAAAUCAGGGAGAGUAGUCCCUGUCCCCUCUGUAUCUUAUACACUGCCCACACUCCCAACACACAUACACAUACAGAGAAUUUUGUCUCAAUUAGAUAAUUAACUUCUGCUUGGUUGUAAACCAAACCACUGGUUCUUAAACUUUCAUUGGAUCAUUUUAUUGAAGAAUUAAAUAGUGUGGUUCUGGCCUAAUGUCUGGAAAGCCUUGCAGAGGAGUGGAUUAGGUCUUUGUGAUAAACAGGCAGCCUUCCCUGCUCCUGUGUCUUUAUAAAAUCUAUUUAACUGGAGUAGUCCACCCUCCCUCAGGCUCUUACAGGAAUAUGUUGGAGGCUGUAGGAAGGUGGGAAACCGAGAGGGAAAGGACUGGGCCGCUGGAGACUUCACUCAUUCCCUAGCAAGAAACAAAAGCAGUAAAAGGUGGCCCGAGGACAACCUGAAGCUCACUCCUUCAGCACUUUUGGCUGGAGGUCACUUGUUGGAGCCCCACUCAGAGCUCAGCACACCACCCCACCAGCAGCCUCCUCCUCCCAGCUGAGGCUGCAUUUCAUCCCUUCCCCCAGCCUGCUUUCCCUGAGAUAGGGGAGUGUUUCCCAGGGCCCAUGUGACUUCCACUGGCAAGUGACGAUUACCAAUGGUUUACUAGUCAGUGAAACUACCAAAGGCUUUUGUGCUGUAGUAAUCCUUUUCCUGUUUAAAACUCUGGGGAUUUUCUAAUGUUGCCAAUAGUUUUUCAAGUCAGCAAUUACUGUGUGGAUUAUGUAAUGGCUCGGUAUUAAAAAUAGAAAAGAC
Molecule: long non-coding RNA, 2295 nt
Filed under: Homo sapiens (human)
Lineage: Eukaryota; Metazoa; Chordata; Mammalia; Primates; Hominidae
Description: PCBP1 antisense RNA 1
Source: RNAcentral